UAGAGAUGGCAGCAGUGGUGAAGGUGGUGGAGGUGACGAUCCUUGAGAUGGAGCUGCAGGAGUGCGCAGACCGGUUGAUCGGGAACUAGCACAUGAGGGGGAUCAACGGCGGGGAGAAGAAGAGACUGAGCAUCGCGCUGGAGAUCCUGACGCGGUCGUGACUCCUCUUCCUCGACGAGCCCACCACCGGGCUCGACAACGCAGCCGCCUUCUUCGUGGUGGAGACGCUGAAGCACAUCGUGGUGGACAACAACAAGACCAUUGUCUCCUCCAUCCACCAGCCCAGCAGCGAGGUCUUCAGCCUCUUCGAUGACCUCUGCCUCUGAUUUGGCGGAGAGGUCGUCCUCUUUGGAGAUGCUAAGUUGGCUACCCAGUUUUUCGCAGAUGUUCGAAUUUUUUUGACAUUUUCCCCUCAAUCUCGCUCUUGCUUUCGUUUGGAAGUUGAGCGCUAAAGAUGAUCAGAUCGCCCUGAAUGGCUGUGAUUGUUGAAGAUAGGAUAACACACGCUUGUAAUCAACGCUUUCGAUGUCGGCGACUUUCGCACCGCUUCCUCCCUCUUCUCCGCCAUGCGCCAUCAAGGCGACGCCAACCUCAACCAUUACACGCUUCCCCUCCUCAACUGUGCCUCGG
Long non-coding RNA from Zingiber officinale, 630 nucleotides. RefSeq lists it as uncharacterized. The transcript has 3 exons. NCBI's taxonomy places the organism in Eukaryota, Viridiplantae, Streptophyta, Magnoliopsida, Zingiberales, Zingiberaceae. The record is from RefSeq and is a predicted model, not a curated record.